GCAAAUGUCAGCCUGCUCUCCCUGGCCAUGAUACCUCAUGUAGGCUUCAUGUAAUUACAGGCAGGGGAAUUCCAGAGCAAGGAUUCCUGGAAAGAUGAAUUAUUCUAGUGUCUCUGGUGCUCGUCUUUAAAUUGUAAAAGUGUUUUCAAUUUUGUAAGCUGACUCACAGUAUCUGGCUGCAGUCCCCAAAUUUUCAGGCCAUUGGAAGAGUGUACCGAAGGUGUUGUUUCCAGCUGGACUCGUAAGGAAGAUUCUUGGCGCCUGGCUGCACGUUAUCAGCUACCCAGCUGUGAGCAUUUCUAGCAGAUAAACAUCC
This 316-nucleotide long non-coding RNA is filed under the name Mus spicilegus (steppe mouse). RNAcentral describes it as "lncRNA (ENSMSIG00000000891.1)". Lineage: Eukaryota; Metazoa; Chordata; Mammalia; Rodentia; Muridae. The record is from RNAcentral.